RNAcentral lists this unclassified non-coding RNA (277 nucleotides) under rhizosphere metagenome. RNAcentral describes it as "partial ribosomal RNA internal transcribed spacer region". The record is from RNAcentral.
GUAGGUGAACCUGCGGAAGGAUCAUUAACGAGGAUUGAUUGUGGGUUGGGGGGGGGAGGAGAGUUGGGGGAUGAUUGAUUGAUUAUCUCGAUUGAUUGAUUGUCUUUGAUCGAUUAUCCACUCUCCCACCCCACACUAUUAUUCACCCCGAGUAGUCGUUGCUGACUGCGGGUCGUUUUGAGCGAUCAAAACAACAAAUUAUAUAGACGCAUGGAUGUUUGACAGUCGUAUGGAGUAAAAUGAUAAACAACUUUUAACAAUGGAUCUCUUGGCUCUU